AAUAUUGGUGCCAUGGUCGAAUGAAUGGAACCACCCAGGUGGCGUGAAGGAGGACGCCGUCGGGUAGUAAAGUUCUUUUGUAUGGGAAAAAAAUCUUUUACCAGUAAUUGUGUGGCUGACCCGAUAAAGAGGAUCCGGCUUAUUUCCGCCAGCAGCCGCGGUAAUACGGGAGAUGCCAGCGUUAUCCGGAAUUAUUGGGUGUAAAGGGUGCGUAGGCGGUUCUAUCAGUCAGUAGUGAAAUCUCGAAGCCCAACCUUGGAACUGCCAUUGAAACUGUCGAGCUGAGUUCAGAGAGGCAGGAAAAUUGCGUUUGUAGCGAUAAAUUCGUAGAUUUUAACACAAACAACAGAUGAGGAAGCCACUUUGCCAGACUAUAACUGCGGUGGGGGCAGAAAGCGGGGGGACAAACCAGGAUUAAUCCCUUGGUCUCCACGCCGUC
Molecule: ribosomal RNA, 439 nt
Filed under: uncultured marine bacterium
Lineage: Bacteria
Description: bacterial SSU rRNA
Rfam family: Bacterial small subunit ribosomal RNA
Source: RNAcentral